CCUAGAAGAGCCAUUUGUCCUCUUCAGAAUGUCAUACCUGUGGACCAGCUUUUUUGCUAUAUUUGCAACUGUUUUAAUUGGUGUUGCAGUGAGUGCUGCCACAGGCGAAAUGAAGAACACAAAAUGGAAAGAUCAUCUUUGUUGUGACUGGGCUGUCGCACUUUGGAGAAAACUGAUCCCUUUUUAUCGUGAAGAGAAAGUUCCGGGCGCGACCGCACCGAAUACCAAUGGAGAGCAGCACAGCCACAAACUUGAAAUUGAUACGCUCCUCACAUACACAAAAGAGACAAAUAUUUAGAUGCGGCCAUACAGCACGAUAUGUCUGCUGCUAGGUGUUUAGUAUUGUAACCGUCUUAAAGAGUCUCAAGUAUUUCGUUAAUGAUACUUAUUUCGGUUAGCUUGUCUUCGCCGGACCCUCUGGCUACCUACCACUACUGUGCAACGUCCUCAAUAUCAAGGGGACAGUCGAACUCUUCACCUUUAAAGAACCGGAG
Long non-coding RNA from Dermacentor silvarum, 494 nucleotides. RefSeq lists it as uncharacterized. The transcript has 3 exons. The record is from RefSeq and is a predicted model, not a curated record. NCBI's taxonomy places the organism in Eukaryota, Metazoa, Arthropoda, Arachnida, Ixodida, Ixodidae.